RNAcentral lists this ribosomal RNA (969 nucleotides) under uncultured bacterium. Its description in RNAcentral is "bacterial SSU rRNA". It matches the Rfam family "Bacterial small subunit ribosomal RNA", at positions 47 to 1024 of the family's 1533-position model. The record is from RNAcentral.
CCUACCAUGCAAGUCGAGCGGAGGAUUCGAGAUGUUUACAUCGAAGGAUCCUUAGCGGCNGACGGGUGAGUAACACGUGGGUAACCUGCCUCAGAGUGGGGGAUAGCCUUUCGAAAGGAAGAUUAAUACCGCAUAAGAUUGUAGCGUCACAUGGCGCAGCAAGAAAAGGAGCAAUCCGCUUUGAGAUGGACCCGCGGCGCAUUAGCUAGUUGGUGAGGUAACGGCUCACCAAGGCCACGAUGCGUAGCCGACCUGAGAGGGUGAUCGGCCACAUUGGAACUGAGACACGGUCCAGACUCCUACGGGAGGCAGCAGUGGGGAAUAUUGCACAAUGGGCGAAAGCCUGAUGCAGCAACGCCGCGUGAGUGAUGAAGGCCUUCGGGUCGUAAAGCUCUUUGAUCAGGGAUGAUAAUGACAGUACCUGAAAAACAAGCCACGGCUAACUACGUGCCAGCAGCCGCGGUAAUACGUAGGUGGCGAGCGUUGUCCGGAAUUAUUGGGCGUAAAGGAUGCGUAGGUGGAUAUUUAAGUGGGAUGUGAAAUCCCCGGGCUCAACCCGGGAACUGCAUUCCAUACUGGAUGUCUAGAGUGCAGGAGAGGAAAGCGGAAUUCCUAGUGUAGCGGUGAAAUGCGUAGAUAUUAGGAGGAACACCAGUGGCGAAGGCGGCUUUCUGGACUGUAACUGACACUGAGGCAUGAAAGCGUGGGUAGCAAACAGGAUUAGAUACCCUGGUAGUCCACGCCGUAAACGAUGGGUACUAGGUGUAGGAGGUAUCGACCCCUUCUGUGCCGUCGUUAACACAAUAAGUACCCCGCCUGGGGAGUACGGUCGCAAGACUAAAACUCAAAGGAAUUGACGGGGGGCCCGCACAAGCAGCGGAGCAUGUGGUUUAAUUCGAAGCAACGCGAAGAACCUUACCUAGACUUGACAUCUCCUGAAUUACCCGUAAUGGGGGGAAGCUCUUCGGA